Molecule: ribosomal RNA, 497 nt
Filed under: uncultured bacterium
Lineage: Bacteria
Description: partial 16S ribosomal RNA
Rfam family: Bacterial small subunit ribosomal RNA
Source: RNAcentral
GAUGAACGCUGGCGGCGUGCCUAAUACAUGCAAGUCGAGCGAACAGACGAGGAGCUUGCUCCUCUGACGUUAGCGGCGGACGGGUGAGUAACACGUGGAUAACCUACCUAUAAGACUGGGAUAACUUCGGGAAACCGGAGCUAAUACCGGAUAAUAUAUUGAACCGCAUGGUUCAAUAGUGAAAGACGGUUUUGCUGUCACUUAUAGAUGGAUCCGCGCCGCAUUAGCUAGUUGGUAAGGUAACGGCUUACCAAGGCAACGAUGCGUAGCCGACCUGAGAGGGUGAUCGGCCACACUGGAACUGAGACACGGUCCAGACUCCUACGGGAGGCAGCAGUAGGGAAUCUUCCGCAAUGGGCGAAAGCCUGACGGAGAAACGCCGCGUGAGUGAUGAAGGUAUUCGGAUCGUAAAACUCUGUUAUUAGGGAAGAACAAAUGUGUAAGUAACUAUGCACGUCUUGACGGUACCUAAUCAGAAAGCCACGGCUAACUACGUG